GACGAACGCUGGCGGCGUGCCUAAUACAUGCAAGUCGAGCGCAGGAAGCCGUCUGAACCCUUCGGGGGGACGACGGUGGAAUGAGCGGCGGACGGGUGAGUAACACGUAAAGAACCUGCCCAUAGGUCUGGGAUAACCACGAGAAAUCGGGGCUAAUACCGGAUGUGUCAGCGGACCGCAUGGUCCGCUGAUGAAAGGCGCUCCGGCGUCGCCCAUGGAUGGCUUUGCGGUGCAUUAGCUAGUUGGUGGGGUAACGGCCCACCAAGGCGACGAUGCAUAGCCGACCUGAGAGGGUGAUCGGCCACACUGGGACUGAGACACGGCCCAGACUCCUACGGGAGGCAGCAGUAGGGAAUCUUCCACAAUGGACGAAAGUCUGAUGGAGCAACGCCGCGUGAACGAUGAAGGCUUUCGGGUCGUAAAGUUCCGUUGUAAGGGAAGAACAAGUGCCGCAGGCAAUGGCGGCACCUUGACGGUACCUUGCGAGAAAGCCACGGCUAACUACGUGCCAGCAGCCGCGGUAA
Molecule: ribosomal RNA, 524 nt
Filed under: uncultured bacterium
Lineage: Bacteria
Description: partial 16S ribosomal RNA
Rfam family: Bacterial small subunit ribosomal RNA
Source: RNAcentral